Long non-coding RNA from Balaenoptera acutorostrata (minke whale), 256 nucleotides. RefSeq lists it as uncharacterized. The transcript is spliced from 3 exons. Lineage: Eukaryota; Metazoa; Chordata; Mammalia; Artiodactyla; Balaenopteridae. The record is from RefSeq and is a predicted model, not a curated record.
CUCCAUAGGUCUGCUUCAGAUACUCAAAUGGAAUUUCCAGAUGGUUGCCUUCUCUAAGGAGGUUGAGAUCUAUCAGCUGGAGCAGCCAGGCUCCUUUCCUUUCUGAAGUGCAGAGGAUGCCAGAGGAGAUAGAGAUGGAAAAUGAGAUACAGAAAAGUUAAGUGACUGGCACCAGACCCCACAGCCUGAAAGCAGAGGAGCUGAGAUUUGAGCCUAGGAAGUCUGGACUCAGAGCCUGCACUCCUAACAACUAUCC